RNAcentral lists this long non-coding RNA (1431 nucleotides) under Bemisia tabaci. RNAcentral's name for it is "lncRNA ENSASIAIIG010016". The record is from RNAcentral. Lineage: Eukaryota; Metazoa; Arthropoda; Insecta; Hemiptera; Aleyrodidae.
GUCCUCGGGGUUUUUAAUUAUAUAUAAUAAAUAUUGUAAACCCAUGGCAACAAUUUUUGAAACAACCCGAACAGGGUUCCAAAAAUAGUUAAUCUUAAAUUGUCUGUGUGCCGUUGGAUCAUGCAUAGUUACAUUAACGAUGACUGGGGGAGAAACUGUGACAUAAUUAUCAGAUUUAAAAACACGCAUUACUCGUAUUCCGAACAAUCAGCUUUUAGACCAGUGCGAUUUUGUGUACGUUGAGAGGAAGUUUAUCUCAGUCCUGCUCUGUGUAGUCAAACUCAUAUUUCGAUUCUUCAUUUCAUAACUUGUGAUGUGCUAUUUAUCGAAAUUUAAUUAGAAAAGUAUCUAUUUUCCCUUAUUGGUAACUCCUACUUACGCAGGCUUACUGGUUCCAGCUAGUUUCAGGGUGGAUUUUAUUGUAACUUCAAUCCGUGCUGUCUCCAAUUUCCAGGAAAGUCAAGCACUCUUGCGGACAUGGCAGGAAAAGGGGAGAAUCAAGAGCCAGAGAAGAAAGAUAAAAGUGUGCAAACGACUAAAAAUUGGGAAACUCCUCGUAGAAAUUAUGAGCCCGGCAGUAAAAGGAGGAGACUUAGCUCAGGCAAGACCCAAAGUAUUGAACCGCAAGCGACGACGACGACUUCGAUGAAGCACGACGACAUCUUCAACGAGUUCAUGACGGUGAUGAACGACCCGCUCCUGGACCUGAACGACUCCUGCUCGGCGCACAAGGAGCUCAAGCUGGACUUCCACAACUUCCGGCCGCGGCGGGUCAUGGAGCUCCUGGUGGACCGGGCGGCGUCGACCAACACCUCGCCCAAGGAGUUCUUCGAGGAGAUGCGGCGCAUCAUCCUCUCCCGCUUCGGCGAGGGCGAGGGCGAGAGUGACGAGUCGGACACCUCAGUCGACCGGUUAGAGGGCAAGUACAGCAUCGCCGAGACGGGCAACGCCCCUGACGUCAUCACCCCGUCCAGGCUCUGCUUCACGUUCCCGCAGUUCGCGGUGGCCGCCAAGCGCAACUCCAUCGUCCACAAGAUCAGGUCCCUGCAGAUGGAGUACUCCUCCGGGUUCAUUGACAUCCUGCCUCUGUUCUACCUCCCCGAGUUCGGCGGUCUCAUCCCGAGCAGGAACACCCUCGAGAAAGAGGUGUGGGAGGCCCUGAUCACGCUCCACGUCUACGCCAUGUACAAGCUCAACCAGCCGGAGCCGUUCCAGAAUCCGGUCUCCGUCUACGCCCGGCAGAUGCUCCUCAAACGCGGGAUCGCCACGGGUCUCCUCUCAAACGAGCAAAGGCUCUACUACCUCCUCCACAACAAGGUCAUCGUCUCCGACCGGGAGCUCUCUUACAGCGCCGAGAAAGCCUACCGUGAGCUCCUCCAGUCGAAAUCCUCCUUCACCAGGCAGAUCAAUUUCAACCUUAUUGAUUAUUAG